CCGGGGGUGGAGUAAUGUCUGGGAAACUAGCCUGAUGGAGGGGGAUAACUGCUGGAAACGGUAGCUAAUACCGCAUAACGUCGCAAGACCAAAGAGGGGGACCGUUCGGGCCUCUUGCCAUCGGAUGUGCCCAGAUGGGAUUAGCUAGUAGGUGGGGUAACGGCUCACCUAGGCGACGAUCCCUAGCUGGUCUGAGCGGAUGACCAGCCACACUGGAACUGAGACACGGUCCAG
This 234-nucleotide ribosomal RNA is filed under the name uncultured bacterium. Its description in RNAcentral is "partial 16S ribosomal RNA". It matches the Rfam family "Bacterial small subunit ribosomal RNA", at positions 104 to 334 of the family's 1533-position model. The record is from RNAcentral.